AUGGUAAAUUGCUCUGAAGUACUGGGAGUGCAGAGACAUGCCUCACCUGAGGACAUUAAAAAGGUGUAUCGAAAACAAGCACUUAAAUGGCACCUGGAAAAAAAAAACCCGAAAAUAAAGAAGCAGAGCGGAAAUUCAAACAAGUAGCUGAGUCAUGUGAAGUGUUGUUGGAUGCUAAAAAGCGGGACAUCUAUGACAAAUAUGGCAGAGAAGGAUUAAAUGGUGGUGGUGGAGGAGGUGGAGUCAUUUUGACAGUCCAUUUGAGUUUGGCUUCACAUUCCGGAACCCAGAUGAUGUCUUCAGGGAAUUUUUUGGUGGAAGGGACCCAUUUUCAUUUGACUUCUUUGAAGACCCAUUUGAUGACUUUUUUGGAAGCCGAAGAGGUCCCCGAGGAAGUGGAAUGAGGUGUCGGCUCCUUUUUCUCUGCCUUCAGUGGAUUUCCUUCUUUUGGAAAUGGAUUCCCUGAUUUUGAUACAGGCUUUACUCCAUUCGGCUCACUAGGUCACGGGGGUCUCACUUCAUUCUCUUCAACAUCAUUUGGCAGCAGAGGAAUGGGCAACUUUAAAUCAAUAUCAACUUCAACUAAGAUACUUAAUGGCAAAAAAAUCAUUACAAGAGAAUUGUGGAGAAUGGUCAAGAACGAGUAGAAGUUGAAGAAGACAGGCAGUUAAAAUCCUUGACGAUAAACGGUAAGAAGCACCUGCUGCGCUUGGCUAACAAGUAA
Non-coding RNA from Arvicanthis niloticus (Nile rat), 724 nucleotides. Lineage: Eukaryota; Metazoa; Chordata; Mammalia; Rodentia; Muridae. The record is from RefSeq and is a predicted model, not a curated record.